UGGGGAAUAUUGGACAAUGGGCGAAAGCCUGAUCCAGCCAUGCCGCGUGUGUGAAGAAGGUCUUCGGAUUGUAAAGCACUUUAAGUUGGGAGGAAGGGCAUUAACCUAAUACGUUAGUGUUUUGACGUUACCGACAGAAUAAGCACCGGCUAACUCUGUGCCAGCAGACGCGGUAAUACAGAGGGUGCAAGCGUUAAUCGGAAUUACAGGGCGUAAAGCGCGCGUAGGUGGUUUGUUAAGUUGGAUGUGAAAUCCCCGGGCUCAACCUGGGAACUGCAUUCAAAACUGACUGACUAGAGUAUGGUAGAGGGUGGUGGAAUUUCCUGUGUAGCGGUGAAAUGCGUAGAUAUAGGAAGGAACACCAGUGGCGAAGGCGACCACCUGGACUAAUACUGACACUGAGGUGCGAAAGCGUGGGGAGCAAACA
RNAcentral lists this ribosomal RNA (427 nucleotides) under uncultured bacterium. Its description in RNAcentral is "partial 16S ribosomal RNA". It matches the Rfam family "Bacterial small subunit ribosomal RNA", at positions 355 to 774 of the family's 1533-position model. The record is from RNAcentral.